This 473-nucleotide ribosomal RNA is filed under the name uncultured bacterium. RNAcentral describes it as "partial 16S ribosomal RNA". It matches the Rfam family "Bacterial small subunit ribosomal RNA", at positions 28 to 507 of the family's 1533-position model. The record is from RNAcentral.
GAUAAACGCUGGCGGCGCACAUAAGACAUGCAAGUUGAACGGACUUAAUCGAAAUAUUUAUAUUUUGAAGCGGUUAGUGGCGGACUGGUGAGUAACGCGUAAGGAACCUGCCUAUUAGAGGGGAAUAACAGUGAGAAAUCAUUGCUAAUACCGCAUAUGCCAUAGAUAUCACAUGAUAACAGUGGGAAAGGAGCAAUCCGCUAAUAGAUGGCCUUGCGUCUGAUUAGAUAGUUGGUGGGGUAACGGCCUACCAAGUCGACGAUCAGUAGCCGGACUGAGAGGUUGAACGGCCACAUUGGGACUGCGAUACGGCCCUGACUCCUACGGGAGGCAGCAGUCGGGAAUAUUGCGCAAUGGAGGAAACUCUGACGCAGUGACGCCGCGUAUAGGAAGAAGGUUUUCGGAUUGUAAACUAUUGUCGUUAGGGAAGAGAAAGGACAGUACCUAAGGAGGAAGCUCCGGCUAACUACGUG